CCUACGGGUGGCUGCAGUGAGGAAUAUUGGUCAAUGGACGCAAGUCUGAACCAGCCAUGUAGCGUGCAGGAUGACUGCCCUAUGGGUUGUAAACUUCUUUUAUAUGGGGGUAAAACAAGGUAUGCAUACCCUCUUGUAUGUACCCUAUGAAUAAGGAUCGGCUAACUCCGUGCCAGCAGCCGCGGUAAUACGGAGGAUCCGAGCGUUAUCCGGAUUUAUUGGGUUUAAAGGGAGCGUAGAUGGGUUGUUAAGUCAGUUGUGAAAGUUUGAGGCUCAACCGUAAAAUUGCAAUUGAUACUGGCAGGCUGGAGAAUAGUUGAGGUAAGCGGAAUGCGUGGUGUAGCGGUGAAAUGCUUAGAGAUCACGAAGAACCCCGAUUGCGAAGGCAGCUUACCAAGCUGUGACUGACAUUGAUGCUCGAAAGCGUGGGGAGCAAACAGGAUUAGAUACCCGAGUAGUC
This 460-nucleotide ribosomal RNA is filed under the name uncultured bacterium. RNAcentral describes it as "partial 16S ribosomal RNA". It matches the Rfam family "Bacterial small subunit ribosomal RNA", at positions 338 to 795 of the family's 1533-position model. The record is from RNAcentral.